This 403-nucleotide ribosomal RNA is filed under the name Bacillus subtilis. Its description in RNAcentral is "bacterial SSU rRNA". It matches the Rfam family "Bacterial small subunit ribosomal RNA", at positions 991 to 1393 of the family's 1533-position model. The record is from RNAcentral. Lineage: Bacteria; Bacillati; Bacillota; Bacilli; Caryophanales; Bacillaceae.
GAGACUGUCAUCUAGAGAUAGGACGUCCCCUUCGGGGGCAGAGUGACAGGUGGUGCAUGGUUGUCGUCAGCUCGAGGCGUGAGAUGUUGGGUUAAGUCCCGCAACGAGCGCAACCCUUGAUCUUAGUUGCCAGCAUUCAGUUGGGCACUCUAAGGUGACUGCCGGUGACAAACCGGAGGAAGGUGGGGAUGACGUCAAAUCAUCAUGCCCCUUAUGACCUGGGCUACACACGUGCUACAAUGGACAGAACAAAGGGCAGCGAAACCGCGAGGUUAAGCCAAUCCCACAAAUCUGUUCUCAGUUCGGAUCGCAGUCUGCAACUCGACUGCGUGAAGCUGGAAUCGCUAGUAAUCGCGGAUCAGCAUGCCGCGGUGAAUACGUUCCCGGGUCUUGUACACACCGA